UACAGAGGGGGCAAGCGUUGUUCGGAAUUACUGGGCGUAAAGGGCGCGUAGGCGGCCUUCUAAGUCGAACGUGAAAUCCCCGGGCUCAACCCGGGAACUGCGUCCGAUACUGGGAGGCUUGAAUCCGGGAGAGGGAUGUGGAAUUCCAGGUGUAGCGGUGAAAUGCGUAGAUAUCUGGAGGAACACCGGUGGCGAAGGCGACAUCCUGGACCGGUAUUGACGCUGAGGCGCGAAAGCCAGGGGAGCAAACGGG
RNAcentral lists this ribosomal RNA (253 nucleotides) under uncultured bacterium. RNAcentral describes it as "partial 16S ribosomal RNA". It matches the Rfam family "Bacterial small subunit ribosomal RNA", at positions 524 to 776 of the family's 1533-position model. The record is from RNAcentral.